Molecule: ribosomal RNA, 415 nt
Filed under: Streptomyces sp. MBT22
Lineage: Bacteria; Bacillati; Actinomycetota; Actinomycetes; Kitasatosporales; Streptomycetaceae
Description: bacterial SSU rRNA
Rfam family: Bacterial small subunit ribosomal RNA
Source: RNAcentral
GGCGACGGGUGAGUAACCGUGGGCAAUCUGCCCUUCACUCUGGGACAAGCCCUGGAAACGGGGUCUAAUACCGGAUACCACUCCUGCCCGCAUGGGUGGGGGUUGAAAGCUCCGGCGGUGAAGGAUGAGCCCGCGGCCUAUCAGCUUGUUGGUGGGGUAAUGGCCCACCAAGGCGACGACGGGUAGCCGGCCUGAGAGGGCGACCGGCCACACUGGGACUGAGACACGGCCCAGACUCCUACGGGAGGCAGCAGUGGGGAAUAUUGCACAAUGGGCGAAAGCCUGAUGCAGCGACGCCGCGUGAGGGAUGACGGCCUUCGGGUUGUAAACCUCUUUCAGCAGGGAAGAAGCGAAAGUGACGGUACCUGCAGAAGAAGCGCCGGCUAACUACGUGCCAGCAGCCGCGGAUAAUACG